Molecule: ribosomal RNA, 552 nt
Filed under: uncultured archaeon
Lineage: Archaea
Description: bacterial SSU rRNA
Rfam family: Archaeal small subunit ribosomal RNA
Source: RNAcentral
ACGGGGUGCAGCAGGCGCGAAAACUUUGCAAUACACGGAAGUGUGACAGGGCUAUCCCGAGCGCCAUCCGCUGAGGAAGGCUUUUACCCAGUCUAGAACGCUGGGGGAAUAAGGAGAGGGCAAGUCUGGUGUCAGCCGCCGCGGUAAUACCAGCUCUCCGAGUGGUGUGGAUGUUUAUUGGGCCUAAAGCAUCCGUAGCUGGCUAAGUUAGUCCCUUGUUAAAUCCACCGAAUUAAUCGUUGGAUUGCGGGGGAUACUGCUUGGCUAGGGGACGAGAGAGGCAGACGGUAUUUUUGGGGUAGGGGUGAAAUCCUAUAAUCCUGGGAGGACCACCAGUGGCGAGGGCGUCUAGCUAGAACGGGUUUGACGGUGAGGGACGAAGCCCUGGGGCGCAAACGGGAUUAGAUACCCCGGUAGUCCAGGGUGUAAACGCUGCUUGCUUGAUGUUGGUUGGGCUCCGAGCCCAAUCAGUGUCGGAGAGAAGUUGUUAAGCAAGCUGCCUGGGAAGUACGAUCGCAAGACUGAAACUUAAAGGAAUUGGCGGGGGAGCAC